Pelobates cultripes (western spadefoot toad) is the source of this 221-nucleotide non-coding RNA. NCBI's taxonomy places the organism in Eukaryota, Metazoa, Chordata, Amphibia, Anura, Pelobatidae. The record is from the annotation of a GenBank genome assembly.
GUUAAAGAAAAAUUACUGUCAGAGUCAUUGUGUUGGAGCUCUGUUAUACACUAACAGGGUUAUCCACUAAAAUCAGAAAUUGUCAGGAAUUCAAAUUUAAGUCCAAAGUAGCCAAGCUGAACUUGGACAUUUUUUCCAAUUUAACUACUUUGCCUUAAAAGAAUACUCCAAAAAACUUUAAGCACUUUAGCUUGCUGAAGCACUUUAUAUUUUAAUGAAAU